AAAGGGAAUAGCUUUUGCUGAGAGAGUAAUAAGCAAGGGUAAUUGGAGUGACUCAUUUAUAAGCAUAAAUUAGACCCUCUUCAUAUUGCUGAGACCUAGCAGGCAGGCUGGCAUGGCUGGAAUGCUAAAAUCAAUAGUUAGAACAUAUUCAAGAUGAAUCAGUUGGGAAGGAGAGGUAAGAAGAGUGGCAGUUUGUAAUGAACAUGAUACUAGUUCUUUCCAAGCUCAGGAGUAAAUGAUCUUGAAUGCUUAUGGGUCUGUGGUCAAAAAGAGAAAGCCAUGAUUAUUAUGUGCACCAGGUCACACCUGAAUGACCCAAAUAUUCUCUGUAUACCAGGAGCCCUCAUGCUUGGAAAGAUGAAAAACGGCAAAAAGCUUCUAUCCAGCUCCUAUCAUCGCAUGAGACCUCUGAGCAAGCAAUACGGGGUGGAAGCAUCAUUCUGCCAGUGUUUCUCUGAAUUCAAAGAACUGAUGUGAAAAAAUCCUAACUCAGAAGCAUUGCAUCUUCAAUUCAAUAAUAGAGUAUUUCUUGACAAAUAAGGUGAGGUAUAUCAAGGAAAUGAAAAAGAGAGUUAGUUCUUCAAUUUACAAGUCAUGUUGAGUUGAUUAUUAUAUGAAAACAAAAGGAAGUGUAAGAGCUCGCUACUUUAAAAAUUCCACAAAGAUGAAAAAAAAUGUGAGCCAAACAAACUGUCAGAAAGAAUUAAUAUUAAGAAACAUUCAAAUGCUAAUUGGGGUCAUAAAUAACAAAGUGGACGUCACUGGGUUAAUUGGUAAUCCCAGCAUGCUCGAACUGUGCUUGUUUUGAUGGUGUUGAAUAUAGUCAUGGACCUAAGGAGAGGAACGACAUGGAGAGCUCGAUUCUGGGAAUAAGAGACUGAGGGGACUUAUGGCUCGUGGUGGGAGCCCAGCAUGAGCUCCCAGGGAAAUGCUGUUGCCCAAGGCCAAGGCAACCCUUAAACACGGGCGCAGGCAAUGUUGUGCGGGGAGACGAGGAACAGGAGCAGGUUGCUCCGGCGGCAGCGGCUCGGCUCGGUGCCUGCUCUUCAAGAGAGAUCUUGAAGAACCGAAGUGUAUAAAGAAGAGAGAUGGACUGCUUACAGGACUAGAGAAAUGACUAAAGGGCUGGAAAAUGGGAAGAAACUCGGAUGCUGAAUCCACUUUGCUCUUAAAAAAAAAAAAAAAAAAAAAAGAGUCUUGUGAGUAACUUGGUGAUAGACUGUACAUAUUGAGCAGAGUGCAAAAUUAGACUGUGGAGAAAAAUACAAUACGAUGGAUUAGUCAGCGAUUGAUCUAGACACCUUCAUACACAGCAGAUGCCACUUUUUAACAAUAGACACUUCUAAACAAAGGAAUAACAUUUGCAGUGAAAAGAGAUUCAAAGCAAUCCUGGAAAAGUUUUAUACAAGACAACACAUUUUUCUAAGAAAGAAUAUUCUUGCUCAGCAUGGAUUAGCUCCUGUGUUGUGGAGGAUGUCAAAGUUGAUUAUUGCAGUGUUUUGGGGUUUUUUUUCCCUGAAAUCAAUACGAUUUCUGAAUAGCCUUGUUAAAUUAAGAUAUUAACUAUGCCUCUUAAAUUAGGCUGGGCCCUUUACGCUUUUAUUGUUGUCUAAAUAAUAAUAUUAUUUUAAGACAAUUUAUUACAAAGUCCCCAAAAGAAAAAAAUUUCCUCUCAACUAUUCACUCUUCAAAACAGUGGUUACUAUUUCAGUCGGCUCCAGAAAUCCAAAUCUGUCUUCUUUAUAUUUAGGUCAUCUUGAAAAAAUACUCCACAAAACCAAGUGGUGAGGCUGCAAAAGACACUGAAUAAUGAAUUCAACCAGGUUUUCCCCAGGAAGCAGAAUAUGAUUCACAGAAACUCAAAUUCAUUCCUGUAAUAUAGAUUACUAAAACAAGUCAUCAUAACCUCUUCUGAAAAGGGAAUACAUAAUACUUAAGUAAUAAUGCCUUUUCAUGCCUAAAGCGAAGGCAUUCCAAAAAUUGCUCUACGACAUAAAACUGCAUAGACCUACCGAGAUUGUAUUUCAGGCAAGCCGUACACCAGAGAUGAAGCUUCUUCAGAUUCAUAUGGUUCAAAGAAGGUACUGUUGAGGGGCAGAGGGUGUUUCCACGCUUGGAUCUCCACCGAACAGUGAACGGAGGAGAGGAUUCAGUAGGAAAGGAUAUAGGUCUCCAUGCACCCCAUUCGACCCAAAUUGGAUCAGAAAUCAGUGGGCUGUGAAGGGUGAAUCAUAUCAAAGUACCUAACGAUAUAACCGACAGAAAGAGGUGGGAAGGGGGUUUCAUAUUUGAAGUGCUGAAAGGACACCAAAAAAAGAAGGGAGAUUGUCACACUGGGAAAAUUCUGUGGAAUUCCCUGGCUUAAGUCAGCCUAAUUGCAAGACCGUAGCAUUUCCAGCCCUGCUUUGAGGUCUUGCAUGGUUGAGUGCCACUUACUUUUGACGUGAUUUGCACUUAUGUUCGUUUUCUAAUAAAUAUUUCAAGGAAAUUUUACAAAGUUACUGAGUUUGCUGCUGCUGUGGACCCUCGAGGGAAGGGGGACAUGUGGUGGGCGGUGGGAGCCUGGAGAAGGCCUCUGCACCACAGCAAUGCAGGCGGGCGCAGAAGAGAAGUGCACUUGCUCCCAUAAGCAGAUGAGGCCAAUGACCGUAAGGAACAGUGAAAAGUGUCUUGUGAAUAGUAAAAAUCCCUCAAAGUUACGACAGGAAUUCAGAUCAUCUUUUCCUGGCAGGACUAAGCAGAGUCGCAGCCAUUGCUGCAGUAGAGUCUCAGUUUACAGUGGGAAAAAAAUGUUUGCCAGACCUUUCUGCAUGCUAAAACCUCUCUUGCUUCUUCAGCAGUGCGGAUCACCACCUCGCUCAUUCUCAUACGAUUCUUCAAAAUUCUUCAAAAAUUAAAAAAAAAAAAAAUGUCAGUGUAAAGCGGUGCAUGGAUGGGCACUGGUUUGGUCCUCAAUGCAUGAAGUCUUUUUAUAUGGUACAAGUAAGCAAAAAAAGGGGAACAUAUGCAUGUGUCCAAGGGAAACAAGUCGAAUGCAUACAGUAACCAGAGGACAUCUGCCGCCUGCGUUCAGUUCAGCAAGGAGCGACGUUCCCUCCGUAACAACGUGCACUUGCUGCGGUGCCCUCGGCCUCCUCCUCCUCCUCCUCGCCUGCUGCACCCGGUAGGGCUCCCGCAACCCACCGCGCUCCAGCCCAUUAAUGCCGUUCCCCGUUGGACGGUACGUCGAGUUACUGCCAGGCCACUUCACUAAUGGUUUUCCAAAAAUUCCCUCAAACAGGGUCACGUUCAUUAAAUUCAGAGGUCUUUGUUACUUGAGAUGCCGAUACCGCCUGCCAUACAAAUCCAAUUUGAAUUGUUCAUCAUCCAGCUCCCAGGGAAGAAUCUCCGCUGAAUACUGGCAAAUGGGCUGCGCUGCUUCAAAAGACUCUCUUGUCAAUAGGUGGCAAUAAUAUCCUUCACUGCAGCUCCUUAAUAUAUGUUUACGGUUUUCCUCCGCCCCAGUUGGAAAUUUUAUAACGUAGUCUCCAGUUAUUUAUAUCAGCAAAGUUCUGCAUUUCCCCCAUUAUAAUUUUUCAUGUCAGUAUAGGCCAGCUACGGGGGAGGCAUGGCAUGGCAUUACUUUAUUAAAGCUGACACUUUGCCUUGGAUUGAAUGAGUUCUCGUCCUCUGUAUCUACAGCCAAAGAUCAUUAGCAUUCCACUUCUGUUUGGCUAUCAACUAAUCUGCUCCAAAAUACUUGCAUGAAAUCAGAUUUAUAUACCAGUCAGACACAUGCAAAAGUAUAAUUUACAGACCCAGAUUCACACGACUGUUGUUUCGGUAUUUAGAGCAUCGCGGAGUUAUCACUCAGGCUCAUUACCAGGAGGAGACAGCCGCCGCUUUCCGCAAGAACCGCUGCUCUCGCUGCUGCUGCUGAUUUAUACAGCACGAAUCCCAAGUGUUUAAAAACAUGUGUUUCUUUGUGGCUUAUCAGAAAGGGUGAUGACAUGACGUCUUCUCGCAAAUUUGUCAUCUUUGAAGUUUAUGGAGUGAAAAUGCAUCUUUUUAUUGCUCGUACAGCAAACGGGAUUAAUCCUAGCCAUGGCUCGAGGACUGCACGCCCACCACGCGCCUGGGACGCGCUCUGCGGCCUCGUGAAAGCCGGGCCCCUGCCCUCCCAGCAGAUUGCUCUUGGGCUGGGCGCCGAGGGAAUGCUGAUUAGAGCAGGCUGUUUAUCGUCGCACUGACGGGGAAUGGUAAUGAAGCUCGCGUUAGAAACGCUCUGCCGCCUGCUCCGAAAGUCACCGUUGCAAGACAAGCGAAGGUUAAAUGCAGCUAGCCGUGUUGAAGCAAGUGGAAAAAACUGAGACCGAAGGGGCUUUGGUAGCUGGCACAACGCCGCAGCAGAGUCGCAUCUCCGGGGGAAGGAGCAUCCCCUGCCCUGAUCUUUGCCUGCGUUUCACAGUGCGUGAGCCUGGCACAACGUGUCUCUGCAAGUCGCUGCUACGGCAAUACAAAUAUAACGUGAAGAGAGAGACCAACAACUUCCUUUUUUCGUAAGUGGAAACACCUAGAGACAAAAUUUUACU
Long non-coding RNA from Dromaius novaehollandiae (emu), 4571 nucleotides. RefSeq lists it as uncharacterized. The record is from RefSeq and is a predicted model, not a curated record. The transcript has 4 exons. NCBI's taxonomy places the organism in Eukaryota, Metazoa, Chordata, Aves, Casuariiformes, Dromaiidae.